This 1158-nucleotide ribosomal RNA is filed under the name Ochrobactrum sp. LB-b. RNAcentral describes it as "partial 16S ribosomal RNA". The stretch from base 1 to 857 matches the Rfam family "Bacterial small subunit ribosomal RNA". Lineage: Bacteria; Pseudomonadati; Pseudomonadota; Alphaproteobacteria; Hyphomicrobiales; Brucellaceae. The record is from RNAcentral.
GGUGAGAGUACGUGGGAACAUACUACCAUUCUACUACAAUAACUCUCGGGAACUUGUGUGCUACCCCAUGUGCCCCCCCCUUUAAAAUUUCAGGAAUCAUAAAAUGCCCUGGCAUUUUAUGGGGGGGAAAGAUUUAUCGGGCAAUGAUCGGCCCGCAUUGGAUUAUGGACUGGGAGGGGUAAAGGCCUACCUGGGACUGAAUCCCUGCCUGGACUCCUAGGGUGAGCAGCCACGGGGAAUAUGAGACACGGGGCACACUCCUGAGGCAGGCAUGCGUGGGGAAUGUUGAACGAUGGGCGGUUGCCUGAUCCUUUCAUGCCGCGUGAUAAUGACGGGCCCUAGGGUUGAAAAGCUCUUUCACUUCUGGCCAUAAUGCCCGUAACCGGAGAAGGGGCCCCGGUUAUUUUCAUUUACUGGGCCUAAAUAAUACGUAGGGGGCUUAUUUUGUUCGGAUUUAAAGCCCGGGGCUCACCCCCGGGCCUGCUUUUGAUACUGGGGUGAAUGCCCGGGGCUCAACCGAGUGACUGUCUUAGAGACUGGGUGACAUGAGUAUAGAUUAGGAGAAUGACCUUUGGAGUGUGCAGGUCACUGUCCCAUUACUGACGAUGAAGUGCGAAGGCGAGGGGAGCUCACUGGAUUAUUUCUCCUGCUAAUCCGCGCCAUCGAGGAGAAAAGACAGGAUUAGAUACCCUGACUCUCCACGCCGGAAACUAACACAGUAAACAUUCCGCCUGUUGACUCUUGUCGCGAGAUUCUAACUCAUUAGACAUGACGGCUGCCGACUACAGCCGCGAAAUAUGUGCUCAAAUUAAUUGACAGGCGCACACACUUACGAGUGGCUUGUGAUCUCUUAUCUCGGAAUCAACGAGACACAACCUUUAUCAGCUCUUGAGAUUCCGGAUAGCAGGUGCUGGGAGACUCUCUCCUCUCGUCGUCUGGAGAUGUAGAGAUGAUGCCGCACGACUAGUCGUCACCCUCCUGCUCGUAGAUGGCUAGCGAUUCAGUCGCGCACUCAACGAGACCUCCGCGCUGUAUAUGCCAAGCAGUACGGUUGGGCACGACUUACGAGUACUGCUGUCAUACCGGAUGGAUGCUCGGGUGCACUAGGUGCUGACGACGUACGACUGCCUAACGCUGUGAGAGUCUAUCAUCGAUGAC